Molecule: unclassified non-coding RNA, 1627 nt
Filed under: Leishmania donovani
Lineage: Eukaryota; Euglenozoa; Kinetoplastea; Trypanosomatida; Trypanosomatidae
Description: gene:LdHU3.25.2680(CDS-product:Translation_initia tion_factor_eIF3_subunit_putative)
Source: RNAcentral
UCCCGCACCACGCACACAGGAUCUGCGCUGAGCAUCGUCUCUCACGCAUCAAGAGAACAACAACAACGCAGCUGUGGCGACAUCUCUUACCCACCAACGCAAACCUCUCCUACUCCCAGUCUUUAGCAGAGCAUCAUGGACGACUACCACGACGAUGAUGUGCACAGCAACUACGGAUAUGAGGAUGACGAGUACGACGACGCCGCGGAUGACUGGGAAGCCGAGGCCGCAGAGGAGGAGCAGAGGGCCGUCGCCGAGGAGGCAGCUCGACAAGCCCGUUUGGAAAAGAAGCUGGCCACGCGUGCCCCGGUGAAGAAGGAAGAGGAGGAGGAGGCAGUGCCAGAGGAUGUGGAGCGCGCAAUGGCAGACAUGCGGCAGGUGGCCAACGACAUCGCCUCGGGUAGUGCUCUUCUCUCCGGAGGAGAUUCGGAGGAGCUGAUUGGGAACCAUAAGCUGACUUCUGACGCGGAUGUUGACCGGGUAGGCACCAUGAUUGCAGACCGCCUCACGUCCUUUUCCGACUCCGCCCACUACGACAAGCUAAUCGUCGAAGUUUUUCAGCGCUUGACCAACCACCUGACGAGCACGCAUCUCCUGAACGAGGAGGCGGACAGGGUACACCGUCUGCGCGAGGAGCUCAAGCGCGCGGCGAAGGCAAAGCCGAAGCCGGUAGAGAAAGCGCCUGUUACGCAGAGCGGCCUCGAUCUCGAUAACUUCGAGGACAGGGGUGGCGCCGCCGUUGCGGAGGAGAACGAGGACGAGACGGGCUGGUAGACGAUGUCUCACUCAAUGUGUAUCCCUGUUUCACCUAAAGUUCGAGGAUGGGGGGAAAGAUCGGGUAAGGAUGAAUAAUAUGCGUGUCUGUGUCGAUUGACGGGUGGUCAGGUGUGCCGAAGAGGGAGGCGGAGAGUGCAGCAGCUGGGCAGGGAGGGAGGGGAGAACGAUGGUCAAUCGAGGAGCGGUGACGUUGUACCUGCGGUGUCCUACUACCACUGAUACCGCCUCCGUGCAUGUUAAAAAACUGCCACCAGCAGCUGUGUGAUUGCUAUGAAAGCGCUUCAUAGGCUGUGCAACAGUCUCGCCGGCGGCCGUUCUAUUAGACGUCCCUUUUCCAGGUGCGCACACUAGAUUCGUUCUUCAUUCCCCACCCCUCUCGCCUGCUCUGUCACGCCCUGCUGGCACUCACCCAUGCAGACGGGCCGGGCCACUCCCUUUUUUUAUUCUUACCUCUAUCUCUCUUCGUCUUCCCCUGGGCUCGCCCCCUCGUCGGAGUUUCCCAGUCGUAUCGAAUGACGGCAGCACCGUGGUGGAGAAGUCAGAUAUACGCCAAGCAGAUUAUUGAACAUCUGUUGCUAAGUCACCAUUAAGCGGUCACGCGUGCGUGUGUGCGUGGCGGUCCGCAUUACACACGCGCACGUGCGUACACCUAUGCGCACAACAGCGACACAUCGACGGCAUUCAAGUGCGAAGGCGUGGAGAGAGGACGAAACCCGAGUCACGGCUGUGUGUGCUGAAGACGCUAAGCUGAGCGUUGCGUGAAAAGGAUGACAAUGCUAUGCACCAUCCGCGUGUGCGAGAGUCCACAAACCCGCACACAUGCAGGGCACUCGAUGUUGCACAUACGUCG